RNAcentral lists this ribosomal RNA (524 nucleotides) under Methylobacterium sp. 4BR9. Its description in RNAcentral is "bacterial SSU rRNA". It matches the Rfam family "Bacterial small subunit ribosomal RNA", at positions 9 to 522 of the family's 1533-position model. Lineage: Bacteria; Pseudomonadati; Pseudomonadota; Alphaproteobacteria; Hyphomicrobiales; Methylobacteriaceae. The record is from RNAcentral.
GAGUUUGAUCCUGGCUCAGAGUGAACGCUGGCGGUAGGCCUAACACAUGCAAGUCGAACGGCAGCACAGGAGAGCUUGCUCUCUGGGUGGCGAGUGGCGGACGGGUGAGGAAUACAUCGGAAUCUACUUUUUCGUGGGGGAUAACGUAGGGAAACUUACGCUAAUACCGCAUACGACCUACGGGUGAAAGCAGGGGAUCUUCGGACCUUGCGCGAUUGAAUGAGCCGAUGUCGGAUUAGCUAGUUGGCGGGGUAAAGGCCCACCAAGGCGACGAUCCGUAGCUGGUCUGAGAGGAUGAUCAGCCACACUGGAACUGAGACACGGUCCAGACUCCUACGGGAGGCAGCAGUGGGGAAUAUUGGACAAUGGGCGCAAGCCUGAUCCAGCCAUACCGCGUGGGUGAAGAAGGCCUUCGGGUUGUAAAGCCCUUUUGUUGGGAAAGAAAUCCAGCUGGCUAAUACCCGGUUGGGAUGACGGUACCCAAAGAAUAAGCACCGGCUAACUUCGUGCCAGCAGCCGCGGUA